RNAcentral lists this ribosomal RNA (231 nucleotides) under uncultured bacterium. Its description in RNAcentral is "partial 16S ribosomal RNA". It matches the Rfam family "Bacterial small subunit ribosomal RNA", at positions 104 to 334 of the family's 1533-position model. The record is from RNAcentral.
CGGGGGUGGAGUAAUGUCUGGGAAACUGCCUGAUGGAGGGGGAUAACUGCUGGAAACGGUAGCUAAUACCGCAUAACGUCGCAAGACCAAAGAGGGGGACCUUCGGGCCUCUUGCCAUCGGAUGUGCCCAGAUGGGAUUAGCUAGUAGGUGGGGUAACGGCUCACCUAGGCGACGAUCCCUAGCUGGUCUGAGAGGAUGACCAGCCACACUGGAACUGAGACACGGUCCAG